ACAUGAUGUAGAAUGAUAUAGGUU
This 24-nucleotide microRNA is filed under the name Zea mays. RNAcentral's name for it is "microRNA miR-3217". The record is from RNAcentral. Lineage: Eukaryota; Viridiplantae; Streptophyta; Magnoliopsida; Poales; Poaceae.